RNAcentral lists this non-coding RNA (48 nucleotides) under Schistosoma mattheei. Lineage: Eukaryota; Metazoa; Platyhelminthes; Trematoda; Strigeidida; Schistosomatidae. The record is from RNAcentral.
AUCCAGGUGACGAGUCUCAAAUAAAACGAAACAAGCGUCAAACUGGAU